CCAACAUUCCCAAGACACUACUAUAGGAUAACACAUUUUCCUACUGUUAGAAAAUUAAAAAAAAAUUACAAUUCAACUAAUAAAAGCAUCCAUUUACAGACCAAACAUUUUACUUCCAACACCAAGAAAGUAAAUGGGUUUGAGAGUCAGACUAAUAGCACCAACACUGGGUGAUCACAACCCUCACAGGUCCGAGCCUGGGUAUGCCAUCACCGUGCCGUGAAGUCAGGCAAAUCAGACCUGUGAGCACUGAAGAGUUUAUACAAUGGAUUACCAUACCUGCAUUCUUGUUACAUUCCAGUGAUGCAAACAGCAAGCCAGAAACACUAAAGAGUUUCCAAUGAACUCCAAUCUUCCAUUUCAGCACAAGAAAGAUUUCAGAACUUACAAAUGGCAGCUCCAUAUCCAACACACAACUUUAUUCACUUCAUGUUCACACAGUCUGUGCAAUAGAGGACAUGUGCAAUAGAAAGACGUGAAGAACAAGAUGUAGAAGUGGACAGCAUUACAAGGAUCCGACGAGCCCUUCCCUGCACAGCAGCACAGCACUAUACUGCUUUGCGAUGGUACUCAGGAGGGGCCACUUCGUAGUCGCUGGCACUGAACAACGCAGAGGAAUUCUUUGCUAAGUACUUUAAGAAGUCAUGCAAAUAGUUUAACAGCAAAGCCAGACUCUUCUCAUCAAGAGGUGUGUAAGCAAGCAUAGCUCCAAUCCGAACAAACAGCCUCAACAGAUGUGGGGCACCAUAGACUUGAGACAUAGGAGCAUCUGGAUGAUCUGCUAAGAUUUCAGCAUACUGAGGCCUCUCAAACUUGUACAGCAGUUGCGUUCCCAGCAUGACAUUGAAGUAUUCUUUAAUUCCAGCCACAACUUCAUUGACUGCAUACUCCUUAUUAUCAGUAUUUCCCCUAGAUUUCUUGUAGUUUGCAUAAUCCUCUAAAAUAGAGUCAACAUUCUUCUUGGCAGGAAGAUAGAAGAGCUGUUUUUGCCUGGUGAUCAAGUCCCAGUCAUCUACCAACCACGGUUUCAACUCUUCUGGGAUUUUCACUUUUACUUCAACUCUGUUCAUAAAUGUUUCUUCACUUUCCACUGUUGGAUCUACUCGUGCCCUCUUCUUCCUAGGAGGCUGAGGAGUCUCACUGCUACUGUUCCCUUCUCCAAGUCCAGGAGUUUUCUGCUUGUUCUUUUUUGUUUUCACUUCAACAUUUUUCUGCUGCAGACCAGAUGUCUUCUUGCCUGGAGCAGCACCUCUCAUCUUCCCCUCUGCAUAUUGUUCCUGAUUGGCUUUUUGAAGUUCUUUUUGUUUCUGCAAAUUGGUAUCCACGUAUUUGAGCACUCUGCUUUCUGGAACCCAUUCAUCCCAGUUUUUAUUCCAACCACUGUAAUGAAUAAAGUAUUUCACUUGCUUGUCCUUUAUGGCAACCUUUACACACUUUGCUUCAUAAAGGAGAGGUCCAUGAAAACAAAGCACUCGUUCACCCUCCUGGAAUUUGGGCUUGGGGUCCUGCUUGGGCGCCAUUUAUAAGUACCUCUCCCUCCUCCCGCCCCCUCCCCGCGGGGGCCUCACCACCUCCGCCGCAUUCUGCGCGGCCGGCCCCAACCCCCCCCGCCGCACCGCGCAUGCGCACCGCUCUGCGCCGUCCCCGCGGCAUGCUGGGAUCGGUAGUGCGGGCGGGGCGGGGCGGCCGUACCGGGAGAGUUCCGCGCUGGUGUUGGGGCUGCGGUGCUGCCUCGAUUCGGUUUCGUUCGUUGGCGGUGAAGAGCUCAGUGUGACUGAGGAGCACGUGACAAAAAU
This 1796-nucleotide long non-coding RNA is filed under the name Gallus gallus (chicken). Lineage: Eukaryota; Metazoa; Chordata; Aves; Galliformes; Phasianidae. The record is from RNAcentral.